UUUGUUGUCGUUCUCUUUUGAAUGCAUUGCUUGUGUCCUGAGGAUUCCUUCGCUGCACUUCCGUUUGGCAAAUUCCUGCGGCCAAACUUCUAUGUUACUUUUUGUGACUGCAGCCCUCAACUUUAUGGAAGCUGUCAAAACGUCCAUCUUGGAGACUCAAGAAGGAUGUUUUUCCCCCGUCUGAACUUUCACGGAGUAGAAACUUUACGGACGGCAAGAAGAUGGAACGGCAUGUCUACCGCCGGUUGAAAGCACAAAAGGGAAGGACACUGCUGCACCCACACCUCGUUCCUCCGGGUCGCCUCGUCGACAUAAUCUGCCAUCCCUUCCCCUCAGUCCGCACACCUCCUGUACCUGCAACACUGAUAACUCCUGUUUCCUUACAAUGGGACGACUUGCAUGAAAAUACGCAUUUUGGCGUCAAAAAGUCGGCGCUUCCUACAACUGGGACUUUCUGAAGAUCCGGUCCAGAUGGUAGGACUUCUUCCAAAAGGGACCGCGUACUGAUGGCUAAUUAUCCUCACAGGACCCUGAGAAAACCCUUAAAAAUAGACACACUCAUCGUGAUUGGACGCAAUUGAUUGGCUCUCGGAGGUGUAAGCUGAUUGUCAGCCGGUACACAUGAUGACUCGUGUCUGCUUGUUAAUUACACUUGCAGGCAGAGGUCCUCGCGAGAGACGAUGUCAGGGAAAAUGUCCUCGGCUUUAAGACGAGCUAUCGAGCGCUGGAGUUGAUUGACGUCGGCGGCCCUUAGCGCACCCGUCUGUCGUCUUUACCGGUGCUUCCCGUCCUGAUAGUUUGCUGCUUUGCUGGGAAUUAAAGUUUGUCUUGAGAACUUCUUGACAAAUUUGAGCUGUCAUCCGUGGCAGAA
Entelurus aequoreus (snake pipefish) is the source of this 871-nucleotide long non-coding RNA. RefSeq lists it as uncharacterized. Lineage: Eukaryota; Metazoa; Chordata; Actinopteri; Syngnathiformes; Syngnathidae. The transcript is spliced from 4 exons. The record is from RefSeq and is a predicted model, not a curated record.